UACGUAGGGUGCGAGCGUUAAUCGGAAUUACUGGGCGUAAAGCGUGCGCAGGCGGCCCGUUAAGACAGGUGUGAAAUCCCUGGGCUCAACCUAGGAAAUGCGCUUGUGACUGGCGGGCUCGAGUACGGUAGAGGGGGGUGGAAUUCCUGGUGUAGCAGUGAAAUGCGUAGAGAUCAGGAGGAACACCGAUGGCGAAGGCAGCCCCCUGGGCCUGUACUGACGCUCAUGCACGAAAGCGUGGGGAGCAAACAGG
Molecule: ribosomal RNA, 253 nt
Filed under: uncultured microorganism
Description: partial 16S ribosomal RNA
Rfam family: Bacterial small subunit ribosomal RNA
Source: RNAcentral